This 245-nucleotide ribosomal RNA is filed under the name uncultured bacterium. RNAcentral's name for it is "partial 16S ribosomal RNA". It matches the Rfam family "Bacterial small subunit ribosomal RNA", at positions 524 to 768 of the family's 1533-position model. The record is from RNAcentral.
GACGGAGGGGGCCAGCGUUGUCCGGAAUUACUGGGCGUAAAGCGCUCGUAGGCGGUCGCGUACGGCGGUGGUGAAAGCUCCCGGCUCAACUGGGAGAGGCCCGCCGCAACGGCGUGACUCGAGGGUGGUAGAGGCAGAUGGAAUUCCAGGUGUAGCGGUGAAAUGCGUAGAGAUCUGGAGGAACACCCGUGGCGAAGGCGAUCUGCUGGGCCAUGCCUGACGCUGAGGAGCGAAAGCCAGGGGAG